Molecule: non-coding RNA, 783 nt
Organism: Arachis ipaensis
Lineage: Eukaryota; Viridiplantae; Streptophyta; Magnoliopsida; Fabales; Fabaceae
Source: RefSeq, a predicted model, not a curated record
UAUAUAUGCUUUAUUGAAUAAACUUCCAAAAUUGUGCUGAGACAUUUUAAUAUAUGGAUCUAAUACAUGAUAUAUAUCUCAAUCUCCUUUUGUCUUUGCUUUCAUAGUAAGGAAAUCCUAUAGCUAUUUAUGGAUUAAUUGCUGAAAUUCUUUUAUAAUUGCUGAAAUUCUUUUAUAAUCGUUCCUCAGUUCAUAGUUAUAUACACGUGAAUAUGGUUCAUAAAAUCUUUGCAGCAGUGAUAUUACUGUUGACUUUUCACUCUCAUAAAAUCUGGUUCAUAGUCCUUGUUUCAUUUCAGUCUCAGGUCAUCAACAUCAAACAUAUCCUUGCACUUAGAUUUGAUUAACAUGAUGUAAUUCUCUCAUGAUUCAUUAAUGAUUUUUUUUAACUGUUUGUUGUAAUUUUAAUUAUUUUCAGUUGAGCAAUGUAUGUCUAAUUUAAUUUCUUGUUCAGUGUUCAACAUUGAAUGAAGAAAAAAUAUUUGAAGUUCAGGACAGCUUAUCACUGUUUCCUUUAGGCUGGAUACAUGGAUUGGAUCAGGAGAGUGAGAUUCCAUCACCAAAAGAGUUAGGAAGUAGGUCUUCUGGAGCAAGCAAUAAGGAAGCAUGACCUUACUUGAUAUGUUAAGACGUAUAUUAAGAAUUAUAUGUUAAGACGUAUUAUUGAAAAAUGUUACUUUGAUGCUUUGUUUUUGGAUUAUGACAUUUCAAUUAUGACUUGGAUUAUGACUUUUGGAUCAUGUAUGAAUUAAAAAUCAUCUAAUGAUGUUUGAUUUAUGAUUA